This 1515-nucleotide ribosomal RNA is filed under the name Bombyx mori (domestic silkworm). RNAcentral's name for it is "SSU rRNA". It matches the Rfam family "Eukaryotic small subunit ribosomal RNA", at positions 56 to 1493 of the family's 1831-position model. The record is from RNAcentral. Lineage: Eukaryota; Metazoa; Arthropoda; Insecta; Lepidoptera; Bombycidae.
AUUUUCAGUGCAAGCCGUAUUAAGGCGAUACCGCGAAUGGCUCAAUAUAUCAGUUUUGGUUCCUUAGAUCUUACUCAGUUACUUGGAUAACUGUGGUAAUUCUAGAGCUAAUACAUGCAAUCAGAACUCUGACCAGUGAUGGGAUGAGUGCUUUUAUUAGAUCAAAACCAAUCGACGGAGGGCCUCGCGUCCGAAGUCGUUAAUUUUGAUGAAUCUGGAUAACUUUUGCAGAUCGCAUGGUCAAGUACCGGCGACGCAUCUUUCAAAUGUCUGCCUUAUCAACUUUCGAUGGUAGUUUCUGCGACUACCAUGGUUGUCACGGGUAACGGGGAAUCAGGGUUCGAUUCCGGAGAGGGAGCCUGAGAAACGGCUACCACAUCCAAGGAAGGCAGCAGGCGCGCAAAUUACCCACUCCCGGCACGGGGAGGUAGUGACGAAAAAUAACGAUACGGGACUCUUACGAGGCCUCGUAAUCGGAAUGAGUACACUUUAAAUAUUUUAACGAGGAACAAUUGGAGGGCAAGUCUGGUGCAGCAGCCGCGGUAAUUCCAGCUCCAAUAGCGUAUACUAAAAUUGUUGCGGUUAAAAAGCUCGUAGUUGCAUUUGUGCGCCGCGCUGUCGGUGCACCGCAUCCGCGGUGAUACUGACACGUUUGCGGAGCAUAUCGUCGGUGAGCCGGCGUUCUAAAAAAACGCCGGUUCAAUAUCAAAAUCCUAUCGCGGUGCUCUUCGGUGAGUGUCGAGGUGGGCCGACAAUUUUACUUUGAACAAAUUAGAGUGCUCAAAGCGGGCUAAAAAUGCUGCUUGAAUAUUUCGUGCAUGGAAUAAUAGAAUAUGAUCUCGGUUCUAUUUUGUUGGUUUUCAGAACUCCGAGGUAAUGAUUAAUAGGGAUAACUGGGGGCAUUCGUAUUGCGACGUUAGAGGUGAAAUUCUUGGAUCGUCGCAAGACGAACAUCAGCGAAAGCAUUUGCCAAAGGUGUUUUCAUCAAUCAAGAACGAAAGUUAGAGGUUCGAAGGCGAUUAGAUACCGCCCUAGUUCUAACCGUAAAUAUGUCAUCUAGCGAUCCGCCGACGUUACUACAAUGGCUCGGCGGGCAGCUUCCGGGAAACCAAAGAUUUUGGACUCCGGGGGGAGUAUGGUUGCAAAGCUGAAACUUAAAGGAAUUGACGGAAGGGCACCACCAGGAGUGGAGCCUGCGGCUUAAUUUGACUCAACACGGGAAAUCUCACCAGGCCCGGACACCGGAAGGAUUGACAGAUUAACAGCUCUUUCUUGAUUCGGUGGGUGGUGGUGCAUGGCCGUUCUUAGUUGGUGGAGCGAUUUGUCUGGUUAAUUCCGGUAACGAACGAGACUCUAGCCUGCUAAAUAGGCGUCGUUAUUUAGGUGUGCGCGGCCUCGUGUCGCGCAACUCACUGACGACGUAUUAAAAUUCUUCUUAGAGGGACCGGCGUCUUCGAGCCGCACGAGAUUGAGCAAUAACAGGUCUGUGAUGCCCUAGAUUGUCCUGGGCGCACG